RNAcentral lists this ribosomal RNA (482 nucleotides) under Clostridioides difficile. RNAcentral's name for it is "bacterial LSU rRNA". It matches the Rfam family "Bacterial large subunit ribosomal RNA", at positions 638 to 1119 of the family's 2925-position model. The record is from RNAcentral. Lineage: Bacteria; Bacillati; Bacillota; Clostridia; Peptostreptococcales; Peptostreptococcaceae.
UAGCAAGGUUAAGCACUUAAGGUGCGGAGCCGUAGCGAAAGCGAGUUUUAACUGAGCGUUCAGUUACUUGACGUAGACCCGAAACCGGGCGACCUACCCAUGAGCAGGAUGAAGCGAAAGUAAAAUUUCGUGGAGGUCCGAACCCACGAGCGUUGAAAAGCUCGGGGAUGACGUGUGGGUAGCGGUGAAAUUCCAAUCGAGCCCGGAGAUAGCUGGUUCUCCCCGAAAUAGCUUUAGGGCUAGCCUCAAGGUGAGAGAUACGGAGGUAGAGCACUGAAUGUCCUAGGGGGUAUUGCACCUACCGAAGACUAUCAAACUCCGAAUGCCGUCAUCUUAUACUUGGGAGUCAGACUGGGGGUGAUAAGAUUCAUAGUCGAAAGGGCAACAGCCCAGAUCGUCAGCUAAGGUCCCUAAAUGUAAGUUAAGUGGUAAAGGAUGUGGGAUUGCACAGACAACCAGGAUGUUGGCUUAGAAGCAGCCAC